RNAcentral lists this ribosomal RNA (499 nucleotides) under uncultured bacterium. RNAcentral's name for it is "bacterial SSU rRNA". It matches the Rfam family "Bacterial small subunit ribosomal RNA", at positions 25 to 518 of the family's 1533-position model. The record is from RNAcentral.
CAGGAUGAACGCUAGCGGCAGGCUUAACACAUGCAUGUCGAGGGGCAGCGCGAGUAGCAAUACUUGGCGGCGACCGGCGCAAGGGUGCGUAACGCGUGAGCAACAUGCCCGUAUCAGGGGGAUAAUCCAGGGAAACUUGGUCUAAUACCCCAUAGUAAUUUUGUAAGGCAUCUUAUAAGAUUUAAAGCUUUGGUGGAUACGGAUUGGCUCGCGUGACAUUAGCUGGAUGGUAAGGUAACGGCUUACCAUGGCUAUGAUGUCUAGGGGUUCUGAGAGGAAGGUCCCCCACACUGGAACUGAGACACGGUCCAGACUCCUACGGGAGGCAGCAGUGAGGAAUAUUGGACAAUGGAUGGAGAUCUGAUCCAGCCAUGCCGCGUGAAAGGAAGAAGGUCCUAUGGAUUGUAAACUUCUUUUGUAUGGGAGCAAUAAGGCCUACGAGUAGGUUGAUGAGAGUACCAUACGAAUAAGCACCGGCUAACUCCGUGCCAGCCGCCGC